UAGGGAAUCUUCCACAAUGGACGGAAGUCUGAUGGAGCAACGCCGCGUGAACGAUGAAGGCCUUCGGGUCGUAAAGUUCUGCUGUAAGGGAAGAACAAGUGCCGCAGGCAAUGGCGGCACCUUGACGGUACCUUGCGAGAAAGCCACGGCUAACUACGUGCCAGCAGCCGCGGUAAUACGUAGGUGGCAAGCGUUGUCCGGAAUUAUUGGGCGUAAAGCGCGCGCAGGCGGCCUCUUAAGUCUGAUGUGAAAGCCCCCGGCUCAACCGGGGAGGGCCAUUGGAAACUGGGAGGCUUGAGUAUAGGAGAGAAGAGUGGAAUUCCACGUGUAGCGGUGAAAUGCGUAGAGAUGUGGAGGAACACCAGUGGCGAAGGCGACUCUUUGGCCUAUAACUGACGCUGAGGCGCGAAAGCGUGGGGAGCAAACAGGAUUAGAUACCCUGGUAGUCCACGCCGUAAACGAUGAGUGCUAGGUGUUGGAGGGUUUCCGCCCUUCAGUGCUGAAGCUAACGCAUUAAGCACUCCGCCUGGGGAGUACGGUCGCAAGGCUG
This 550-nucleotide ribosomal RNA is filed under the name uncultured bacterium. RNAcentral's name for it is "bacterial SSU rRNA". It matches the Rfam family "Bacterial small subunit ribosomal RNA", at positions 355 to 896 of the family's 1533-position model. The record is from RNAcentral.